GUGUCAUCUCCUGUUUGUGUUGUCUCUAGUGUUCUUGUGCUCUUUUUUUUUUUGUCUGUUGGACCUUUUAGGAUUGCGUUUUCUUGGACAAUUUAAAGUUUUGGAGGCAUGCUUUUGUGUUUAGCUGAACCUUCAACCUUCAAACCCAUUGUUCUCAUAGGAGCCCAGAGGGAACUCUUGAGGGGUGCACCAGACUUUUUUUGACAGAUUACAAUCCAUCCCAUGUGCAGCAAUGCGAGACACUCAGAACAACGGCCAAAGAAGACGCGCACGAGUAGACUGACUGCCAAGCUGAGAGGGCUAAUCAGGACCUCGAGAAGACUCUCCGCUGCCAUGUAUCGGCCAACCCAGGCUCCUGGUCCUCCCAACUUCCUUGGGUCAAGUUUUCCCAUAACACCCUGCCAUCCUCUGCUACAGGUAUGUCACCAUUCCAAUGCCUCAAUGGUUAUCAACCACCCCUUUUCCCAGCUCAGGGGAAGGACAUCCUGAUCCCAUCGGUCCAUGCCCACAUCCGUCGUUGCCAGAAGACCUGGCAUCAAGCUCGCUCUGCCCUGUUGAGAUCCUCCGAUAGAUACCAAAGACAAGCUAAUCGCCGGCACACCCCAGCUCCUAAUUACACCCCUGGAGACAGGGUAUGGCUCUCAACUAAGGUUCUGCCAAUAAAAACUGAUGCUAAGAAUCUGUCCCCCAGAUUCAUUGGACCAUUUACUGCAGAAAGGUUCCAAUGAAUCCAAUGGUUGUCUAGCUGAAACUCCCCCGUACCAUGCGAAUCCACCCUUCAUUUCAUAUGUCCCGUUUGAAGCCUGUCUCCUCUAGCCCUCUCCUUCCCCAGGCCCCUCCCCCUCCACGAUUAUAGACCAUCAUCCUGCCUAUACUGUACAAAGCAUCCUGAACUCUCGCCGUCGUGGGGUGCAGUCCUUGGUUGACUGGGAGGGUUACGGCCAAGAGAAGAGGAGCUGGAUUCCCCAUCUGCUGAUCCUGGACCCUUCCCUUGUCCGGACGUUUCCCGACCGGCACCCGGACAAACCUGGGAGGUCGCCCAGAGGUGCCCGUUAGUGGGGGGAUACUGUCACAGUUCCUCCUCUGUGUGUUUUUGUUUUCCCCUCUCCCUCCUGCAUGGUCUCCUGCACUGUCUGCUCACCUGCACUGGAUCUGCAAACACACUCCUGCCAGCCAUCAUCCAAUCACCACUGCCAAUAAGAACCCUGCACUGACACCCAAUCCCUGCCGGAUCGCAUGCCUACAUGGAUCCAUCAGCACCCAGCUCUGCCACCUUCCUCACUCACCUGCCUGUUCAUCACCUUCUGGAUCCCUCCCUCAGCAACCCAGGACCCCCACCAGCUAUCCCUUCACCCUGCACUUUUACAAUAAAACAUUGGGAAACAAGA
This is a long non-coding RNA of Notolabrus celidotus (New Zealand spotty), 1388 nucleotides long. RefSeq lists it as uncharacterized. NCBI's taxonomy places the organism in Eukaryota, Metazoa, Chordata, Actinopteri, Labriformes, Labridae. The record is from RefSeq and is a predicted model, not a curated record. The transcript has 5 exons.